AGACAGUGUGUGUUUUUGGGUUA
Molecule: non-coding RNA, 23 nt
Filed under: Arabidopsis thaliana (thale cress)
Lineage: Eukaryota; Viridiplantae; Streptophyta; Magnoliopsida; Brassicales; Brassicaceae
Source: RNAcentral